UGGAAGUAAAAGUCGUAACAAGGUCUCCGUUGGUGAACCAGCGGAGGGAUCAUUACAGAGUUAUACAACUCCCAUACCAUCUGUUAACCUACCCAGUUAUGCCUCGGCGUAAGCUCGGUUGGAGGCACCUGCAGCUACCCUGUAGUUGCGGACUGCCAACUCCAGCCGCGGCCCGCCGGCGGUACACUAAACUCUGUUUUAUUUUAUAUUCUGAGCGUCUUAUUUUAAUAAGUUAAAACUUUCAACAACGGAUCUCUUGGUUCUGGCAUCGAUGAAGAACGCAGCGAAAUGCGAUAAGUAAUGUGAAUUGCAGAAUUCAGUGAAUCAUCGAAUCUUUGAACGCACAUUGCGCCCAUCAGUAUUCUGGUGGGCAUGCCUGUUCGAGCGUCAUUUCAACCCUUAAGCCUAGCUUAGUGUUGGGAAUCUGCUGUACUGCAGUUCCUUAAAGACAGUGGCGGAGCGGCGGUAGUCCUCUGAGCGUAGUAAUUUAUUUCUCGCUUUUGUCAGGCUCUGUCCUCCCGCCAUAAAACCCCCAAUUUUUUAGUGGUUGACCUCGGAUCAGGUAGGAAUACCCGCUGAACUUAAGCAUAUCAAUAAGCGGAGGA
This 605-nucleotide ribosomal RNA is filed under the name Arthrinium sp. LH52. RNAcentral's name for it is "eukaryotic LSU rRNA". The stretch from base 237 to 390 matches the Rfam family "5.8S ribosomal RNA". RNAcentral also lists the same sequence under 1 other name. Lineage: Eukaryota; Fungi; Ascomycota; Sordariomycetes; Amphisphaeriales; Apiosporaceae. The record is from RNAcentral.